This 407-nucleotide ribosomal RNA is filed under the name uncultured bacterium. RNAcentral describes it as "partial 16S ribosomal RNA". It matches the Rfam family "Bacterial small subunit ribosomal RNA", at positions 28 to 526 of the family's 1533-position model. The record is from RNAcentral.
GACGAACGCUGGCGGCGUGCCUAAUACAUGCAAGUCGGCCGCCGUUGCGAACGGGUGAGUAACGCGUAUGUAACUACCUAUUAGAGGGGGAUAACUAUUGUAAACGAUAGCUAAUACCGCAUCCUAGUAGAUGGACCUGCGUUGUAUUAGCUAGUAGGUCUGGUAAUGGCCUACCUAGGCAACGAUACAUAGCCGACCUGAGAGGGUGUACGGCCACACUGGGACUGAGACAAGGCCCAGACGCCUACGGGAGGCAGCAGUGGGGAAUCUUCGGCAAUGGGGGGAACCCUGAUCCAGCCAUGCCGCGUGUGUGAAGAAGGUCUUCGGAUUGUAAAGCACUUUAAGUUGGGAGGCGUUACCAGCAGAAUAAGCACCGGCUAACUUCGUGCCAGCAGCCGCGGUAAUUC